Molecule: transfer RNA, 37 nt
Filed under: Alligator sinensis (Chinese alligator)
Lineage: Eukaryota; Metazoa; Chordata; Crocodylia; Alligatoridae
Description: partial tRNA-Arg
Source: RNAcentral
CCAACCCCCAAAGAACUAGUCUAACAUAAGACCUCUA